UUAACUAAUUAAUAUAUCAUUCAAUUUUGUGGAUCUAGUCUCAAUAGCCUAUUAUCUACCAAUAAUAACUGGUAAUUAAUGUUUCGG
Molecule: long non-coding RNA, 87 nt
Organism: Ipomoea nil (Japanese morning glory)
Lineage: Eukaryota; Viridiplantae; Streptophyta; Magnoliopsida; Solanales; Convolvulaceae
Exons: 3
Source: RefSeq, a predicted model, not a curated record